UGACAAACAAUACUCAGUGUAACCAGAUGCCAUCAGAGAACUGUAACUCCUCCAGUUUAUGCUUCAUACAAUUAGACAAGUCAUUCAUUCAUGAUACGAAGAUAACAAAAAAAUGUGUCCAUCAGUCUGAAUGUAACCGAACAAAUUACAAUGUGUGGAUAGCCUCAAAGUACACAUCAUGCUGUGCUGGAGACCUGUGCAAUGAAUAUGUGAAUGGAAACACAAAUGUAACAUGCAAUACUAUCCUAAUAAUGUCUGCCAUUCUGGUUCUCAUGAUCUUCAAAACAAUGGUUUAAACUAAAGUCCUCUAAGGCACUGAUAGUAUUGUGCUCAACGCUGAUCUCCACAACAUCAACAUUUCUGUUUAUUUUAUAGAUGGUAAGAACUCAUGAGCAGGGCCCCCUUCCCUCUUGUGCUUUUUCUUCCUUCACUUAUUAUCAUCUUCAUCGUCAUCAUCAUCAUCUCCUCACUACCAACAACGGCACCAAACCUUUGGGAUUGGUGGUCCUGCUGCUGAUUUGUGUCUUAUAACUGCUGAUGCUGCUAACUUUAUAAACCUUGUCCUUAUUCUACAAUGUUUUGUACUGUAAGUCACAUUUUAUACCGUUCCCAUUUAAGUAUGUUGCAUGGUGUUGUGGACCCUUUGUGGACCCUUUGUUAACAGACCGAACUUUAAAAAAAAAUAGUGCUUAUGAUUAUAAAGGGAAAAAAUUGAGACAUUUAGAUUAACAUUUAAAGGAAAAACCCAAGAGUUUGAGAAUGCUUGCUAUCCAAUACAGGAUCUCAACAUUACUGUACAUUUGCUGCUUAUUUUCCCUCCAAACCACAUUUUUCCUAACAAAACAGUCUUAAGGAACCAUUAUAUUUUAAUUGGUUAAAGAAUGUAGAAAUCUUACUAAACACAUAUGUUUGCUUGCAAAGCAUCGACUUUGGUGGGAUAAAUGUCUGUGUGAUAGUUAUUGCCUCUUCGUUCAUCAAUUGCAUACUCUUCAUUUUUAGCACUAUAAUUUCAGUCCAAACCAGCUACCUGACAUACUGCAAGAACUAUACUGAAGGAUACAAAUACAGUAAUUAACAGAUAUCUUAGAGCUUUUAUUGUACAAAUUUUACAUUUUUCAUUUGACUUGGAUAUUUCUAACUUGUUUACUCAUUGUGACUUAUGGUAUCUCAAAAGUCUUAAAUUACUAAAUCUGGUAAAAA
This is a long non-coding RNA of Pseudophryne corroboree (corroboree frog), 1200 nucleotides long. RefSeq lists it as uncharacterized. The transcript has 2 exons. NCBI's taxonomy places the organism in Eukaryota, Metazoa, Chordata, Amphibia, Anura, Myobatrachidae. The record is from RefSeq and is a predicted model, not a curated record.